CCUACGGGAGGCAGCAGUGGGGAAUAUUGCACAAUGGGCACAAGCCUGAUGCAGCCAUGCCACGUGUAUGAAGAAGGCCUUCGGGUUGUAAAGUACUUUCAGCGGGGAGGAAGGGAGUAAAGUUAAUACCUUUGCUCAUUGACGUUACCCGCAGAAGAAGCACCGGCUAACUCCGUGCCAGCAGCCGCGGUAAU
Molecule: ribosomal RNA, 194 nt
Filed under: uncultured bacterium
Lineage: Bacteria
Description: partial 16S ribosomal RNA
Rfam family: Bacterial small subunit ribosomal RNA
Source: RNAcentral